This 218-nucleotide unclassified non-coding RNA is filed under the name plant metagenome. RNAcentral describes it as "partial contains small subunit ribosomal RNA, internal transcribed spacer 1, and 5.8S ribosomal RNA". The record is from RNAcentral.
UCUCCGUUGGUGAACCAGCGGAGGGAUCAUUACUGAGUGUUACAACUCCCAAACCCACUGUGGACCUUACCAUUUGUUGCUUCGGCGGGAUCGCCCCGGCGCCUCACGGUGCCGGGCCGCGCCCGCCGGGGGCCCUAAACUCUUGUCUUUAGCGGUUUUCUCUCUGAGUGGCACAAGCAAAUAAAUAAAAACUUUCAACAACGGAUCUCUUGGUUCUG